RNAcentral lists this ribosomal RNA (425 nucleotides) under uncultured rumen bacterium. RNAcentral describes it as "bacterial SSU rRNA". It matches the Rfam family "Bacterial small subunit ribosomal RNA", at positions 354 to 776 of the family's 1533-position model. The record is from RNAcentral.
GUGGGGAAUAUUGGUCAAUGGCCGAGAGGCUGAACCAGCCAUGCCGCGUGCGGGAGGACGGCCCUAUGGGUUGUAAACCGCUUUUGUUGGGGAGCAAUAAGUGCCACGUGUGGCGCGAUGAGAGUACCCAGCGAAUAAGCAUCGGCUAACUCCGUGCCAGCAGCCGCGGUAAUACGGAGGAUGCGAGCGUUAUCCGGAUUUAUUGGGUUUAAAGGGUGCGUAGGCGGGUUCUUAAGCGUGAGGUGAAAUGCCACGGCUCAACCGUGGAACUGCCUCGCGAACUGGGAGUCUGGAAUGCCCCUGCCGUGGGAGGAAUGUGUGGUGUAGCGGUGAAAUGCAUAGAGAUCACACAGAACACCGAUUGCGAAGGCAUCUCACGAAGGGGUGAUUGACGCUGAGGCACGAAAGCGUGGGGAUCAAACAGG